RNAcentral lists this signal recognition particle RNA (309 nucleotides) under Beta vulgaris subsp. vulgaris (sugar beet). Its description in RNAcentral is "SRP RNA Plant_SRP". It matches the Rfam family "Plant signal recognition particle RNA". Lineage: Eukaryota; Viridiplantae; Streptophyta; Magnoliopsida; Caryophyllales; Amaranthaceae. The record is from Rfam by way of RNAcentral.
GCUGAGCUAAGUAACGUGAGCUUGUAACCCAUGUGGGGGCAACAAGGUGAUGGAACAUGAUCGUGGCCUUCUGGGUCGGGUCUAUGGUUGGCUGAAUGCUGGCUCGCCCUAUCCAAGUUGGGAGUUGGCUCAUGUGGCUUGGGCGAAGGCCUUAAGCUUCAUGGGCCCUAAAGUGGAGGGUACUGCGUGAGGCUGGUUUCACAGAGCAACGAAAACCUCCCACUCUUGUCAGUGGAAGGAUAACGGGCUAGUGCCUCCUUGGCCCAUUAGUACCUAGUUGGCUGAUAUCUUAAAUGGACCAUCACUUUU